GGGAACUAAUCCUUUCACUGCUCCUAGUAGCAUACCAAACACUAUAACCAGUAUUACAACACCUAAAACUGAUGCACAACCUAAAAUAAACCGUCGAUUUACAUCUCCUGAAGGGACUCGGUCCCCAUCCAUUACUGCAACCCACUCCCCAGAGCUUAGUUGCUGCACAUCAAGUUGAUGACUGCGGGCACCAUUCCAGGCAUUCCGUCCCUUCAUU
RNAcentral lists this unclassified non-coding RNA (217 nucleotides) under Hevea brasiliensis (rubber tree). Lineage: Eukaryota; Viridiplantae; Streptophyta; Magnoliopsida; Malpighiales; Euphorbiaceae. The record is from RNAcentral.